GACGAACGCUGGCGGCGUGCUUAACACAUGCAAGUCAAGGGGGGCCAGCAAUGGUCAACCGGCGAACGGGUGCGUAACACGUGAGCAAUCUACCGAUUUGUGGGGGAUAGCCGGCCCAACGGCCGGGUAAUACCGCAUACGAUCUUCGGGAGGCAUUUCCUGAAGAUGAAGCCUACGGGGCAAAUCGAGGAGCUCGCGGCCUAUCAGCUAGUUGGUGAGGUAAUGGCUCACCAAGGCGAUGACGGGUAGCUGGUCUGAGAGGAUGGCCAGCCACAUUGGGACUGAGAUACGGCCCAGACUCCUACGGGAGGCAGCAGUGGGGAAUAUUGCGCAAUGGUCUAACGACUGACGCAGCGACGCCGCGUGAGGGAUGAAGCUCUUCGGAGUGUAAACCUCUGUUGCCAGGGACGAACAGCUGAAUUCAUUCAGCCUGACGGUACCUGGGUGAGGGAAAG
This 455-nucleotide ribosomal RNA is filed under the name uncultured bacterium. Its description in RNAcentral is "bacterial SSU rRNA". It matches the Rfam family "Bacterial small subunit ribosomal RNA", at positions 28 to 490 of the family's 1533-position model. The record is from RNAcentral.